This is a long non-coding RNA of Gallus gallus (chicken), 4000 nucleotides long. The record is from Ensembl. Lineage: Eukaryota; Metazoa; Chordata; Aves; Galliformes; Phasianidae.
GUGCGCGUGAAGGGGGCGCGCCGGGUGCUGAGUGCGCGGGGCGUACCGGGCGCGGGAUGCUCGGAGCGCGUGGGGUGCAUGGCGGGUAUGGUGCACAGGGUGCUCAGGGUACAGUGAGUAUGAUGUGUGUGGUACGUGGUGGGCAUUGUGCACAGGGGGCUCAGUGCAUGGUGUGUAUAACGUGCAUGGUGCACAGGGUACUCUGUGUGCUCAGUGUACAUGGCGCAUAGAAUGCACUGUGCAUAGCGUGCAUGGUGCACAGGACACUAGGAAUGCAUGGUGUGCACAGUGCGUGGAGUGCAGCAUGCAUUUGGUGCAUGGGAUGCUCAGGGUGCGCAGGGUGUACCGUGCAUGGUGUUUAUGGUGCACAGGGUGCUCAGAAUGCAUGGUGUGCACGGUGCACAGGUUGCUUAGCGCAUUGUGUGCGUGGUGCAUGGAUUGCUAAGUGCGUGGUGUGCAUGGUGCACAGGGUGCUCAAAAUGCUCCGUGUGCAUAGAGUGUACUCUGGGUGCUCAGAGUACAUUGUAUGGUGCACGGGGUGCUCAGUGCAUGGUGAGCAUGUUGCAGAGGGUGCUCUGAGUGCUUGGUGUGCAUGGGGUGCACUGUGUGCAUGAUGGGCAGAGUGCUGAGUGCAUGGUCUGUGUGGUACACAGAGUGCCCGGAGAAUGUCAUGCAUAUGGUGGAAGGGGUGCCACAGGGAACAUGAUACAUGUACUGCACAGGGUGCACACAGUGCGUGCUGUGCAUUGUGCAUUGGGGGUACAGAGGAAGUUGUAUGUGUGGUGCUCAAGGUGCACAGUGCAUGCUGUGCAUGGUGCAUGAGAUGAUCAUAGGACAUGAUGUAUAUGGUGCAUCCGGUGCUUAGAGCACAUGGUAUGUAUAGUGCAUGAGGUGCUGAGAGGAAAUCAUGUGUAUGUUCACGUGUAUACCAGUGCAUGUGUAUGUGAUCCUCGAGGUGCUUAUUGCAGGAUGCACAGCGCACGGUCUCAGCACUGCAGGGAUGGUGCACAGUGCACAGUCUUGGCAUUAUGUGCAUGGUGCACAGUGAACUGUACAUAUCCUUCACGUUGUAUCAUGCACCACAUUGCAGGCACAACCAGCAUGCACCACUUUCACCCUAGAAAUAAUCGCCAGCAAUACAGGAGAGAGGCUUGGUGCUGGAAGCCCAGAGCAUGCAGGAAAGCACAUUUGGACGUGAUGAUCCUUAUGGGUCCCCUCCAACUCAAGGAACACAACUUCCUGCAUGUUCCCAUUGUUUGGGAACUGUAUGGGCAAAAGCACUGACUUUCUCCAAAAUAGUUGGUGUAGGUACCACACAUAUAAUACAUGUAACAUACGGUAGGGUGCACGUCUCAGUGCCUCAGUGUGCAAUACAGUGUGUGCAUACAUUUUCGACAUGCAUAUAGUUUGCUUCAAACACUGCCAGCUGUGAAAAGGACGCACAUGCACAGCAUGCACCCUUCUGUGCACCAAAAUGGCAUUUUCAAACAACUUUGAAUCAGAAAUAUUAAUAUUCCUACGCAUAUGUAUUCAGCAAACACUUCCUGAAGGUGCAUAAAAGGGAACAGAGUCAGUUCCUUCUCCUUUGAAAUGUGUGAUACCUUUCUCCCUGAGUAUUAACAGACCAUUUUAAACUCUAUCAUAUCAAGACCAGAGUCUGCAGUGUGGAGUCUUCAUCCUGCAGAUAUCCAAUACAAUCUACUGGUGGAUGGCAAGCUGGACAUAAGCCAGCAAUGUACUCUCACAGCCCAUAAAGACAACCGUAUCCUGGACUGUGUCAAAAGAAACGUGGCCAGCAGGACGAGGGAGGUGAUCCUGCCCUCUACUCUGCACUUGUGAUGCCUCACGUGGAGUACUGUGUCCAGAUGUGGAGUCCUCAGUACAGGAGAGACAUGGACCUGUUGGAGCACAUCCAGAGGAGGGCCACAAAAAUGAUCCAAGGGAUGGAACACCUCUCCUAUGAAGGCAGGCUGAGAGAGCUGGGGCUGUUCAACCCAGAUGUGGUUGGUCCCCCAUCCCUGGAGACAGUCGAGGUCAGGCUGGCCGUGACUGAGCAACCUCCUCUAGCUGUAGGUGCCCCUGUUCAUUGCAGAGGAGCUGGACUAGAUGACUUUUAAAGGUCCCUUCCAACCCAAACAAUUCUGUGAUUCUAUUCUAUGAAUAAGGAAGUCAUUUUAAAAAGAGUAACUACCUCUGAAGUGGUUGACCACAGCAUUGCACAGCGUGUGCUACUUGCUUUCCAAUAGUUUGCUUUUUCCUCCAGCAUCCAAACCACGAGCCUGACUGUGGCCUCUGCAGUGUUGUGCUGCAUGGUUAAAACAUGAAGACAUGAGCCUUCAUAACUGUAAUGCUGCAAAACCACAGUGCCUGUGUUGAUGACACCACCACCCCUAAAAUCUCCGCUGAGUCAAAUCUAAAAAAAUAAAUGAUUUGCAAACUCCUGCAAAGGCCAUCUAAAAAUAUACCACCAGGAGUGAGUAAGUGUGAACCCUUUGUGUCCCCUGGAAUGGAUUCAUCCCUCUACCCCUCUCAUACUCCUCCAGCUCAGCUCAGGACUUCCCUUUUCCCAGCAACUGGGAAGUGUCAUCAGUACCCAUGUGCCAUGGAUCAGCACAGAUAAAUACAGCCUUCGGCUGAAACAUUUGUGUCAAAGCCACCUUUUUGGCAACUUUAUCUGUGAAAACUUCAAAGUGUCAAGAUAAGCAUGUAUGAGGGCUGCUCCACAAGUAAUGCAUCUUAUGAUGUUGUUGGCCCAUGAUGUCAGAGGAGGGUGUUGGUGGGAUGGCAGUGGAGGAUGAACCUUCCUGCCUAUAUCCCAUCAUAUUUUGUUGCCGUGUGGCAGAUGGCAGCAGAGGGGCAGUCUGACAAAAUGGUGUCUAACAUAGAAGUGCAUUUGAAGCAAAGGUGUGGAACUGCAAAUUCCUCUAUGCAGAAAAACUUGUACCCACCAACAUUCAUUGGUGCUUGCUUAACGUUUAUGGAGACCAAAUGGUGGAUGUAAGCACAGCGAGGUGGUGGGUGGUGUGCUUCAGUAAUGGCAACAGCGACACUGGUGCAGAUUGUUACAAGCAUGACAUGCAGGCUCUUGUUUAUCGCUGACGAAAAUUGAUAGCUAAUGAUUGAUAGCUAUUUUUCACUCUCUCGAAAAAUAGUGCUUUGUAGCUGAGGAUUUUCUCCAUCAAAUCAUGUCAUUGUUCUCUUUGUAGCUUUUGUAGUUUCUGUGGAAAUAAACAGGAGGCAUUACUUUUGGUGCAACCUGCUGAACAGGACCUGAUGAAAAGGAGAUGGCAUGAGGAAGGAGAUGGGUAAUUAGUCCUAGGGAAGGAGCUGGCUCUUGUCAAACAUCAGAUAGCUGGGGCUCGUCACUACAAACUUAACCUCCCAGAAAGGGCAAAGAAAAAGGAGCCUCUCUCCUUCCUCUUUGUGCACGAGGGACUGCAGCACCUGAUUUCCAUGAGAAGAGGCCACUUCUGGCAUGGACAUUCCCAGCAACCGGAGUCCCCUCAAUGCUGUCCUGAUAGAGGAGGGGAGGAAAGAACUCGCCAUUCCAAAAGGCCCAGAGCUGCCAGAAAGGUCCAAGGAAGGCUGAUUGUGCACCAAGGGAACGAAGGGAAAGAGGAUCCCUGCUCCUUGCUGGGAUAAAACCAAACACCAUCCAAAAUUGGUGGGGGAAGGACUGUGGAGAGUUUUGAUGCAUUGACACAGACAUCAAGUUGCUGAUGAGGACACUGCAGUAUGGGGCUGAUUUUGGAUGCUUGAGUGACAUAACAUCCAUAAGUACCGCUGGUCUCAAAUCAGUCUCAUGUGGGGUUUUUAUGAGCACUUUUCAUUCAUAGAUCUCAGAGGGCUUCACAGAGGAGAGAGCUAUAAACAAGACAGAGGGGAGUGAGGGAUAGGCUGGGGCUUUUAAAAGGCAAUGUGUUGUUUCUUUAAGGGGUUCUGUAGAUAAGAGCUCUGUAUGAAGUCUCAUUUUACCAAAAAUAAAAUAUUUUGCAAUGGC